RNAcentral lists this ribosomal RNA (485 nucleotides) under uncultured bacterium. RNAcentral describes it as "bacterial SSU rRNA". It matches the Rfam family "Bacterial small subunit ribosomal RNA", at positions 30 to 507 of the family's 1533-position model. The record is from RNAcentral.
AUUGAACGCUGGCGGCAUGCUUUACACAUGCAAGUCGAACGGCAGCACGGGUGCUUGCACCUGGUGGCGAGUGGCGGACGGGUGAGUAAUGCAUCGGAACGUGUCCUGAAGUGGGGGAUAACGCAUCGAAAGAUGUGCUAAUACCGCAUAUUCUCUGAGGAGGAAAGUAGGGGAUCGAAAGACCUUAUGCUUUUGGAGCGGCCGAUGUCUGAUUAGCUAGUUGGUAGGGUAAUGGCUUACCAAGGCGACGAUCAGUAGUUGGUCUGAGAGGACGACCAGCCACACUGGGACUGAGACACGGCCCAGACUCCUACGGGAGGCAGCAGUGGGGAAUUUUGGACAAUGGGCGCAAGCCUGAUCCAGCAAUGCCGCGUGAGUGAAGAAGGCCUUCGGGUUGUAAAGCUCUUUCAGUUGAGAAGAAAAGUCGUGACUAAUAAUCAUGAUUCAUGACGGUAUCAACAGAAGAAGCACCGGCUAACUACGUG